Papaver somniferum (opium poppy) is the source of this 1672-nucleotide long non-coding RNA. RefSeq lists it as uncharacterized. NCBI's taxonomy places the organism in Eukaryota, Viridiplantae, Streptophyta, Magnoliopsida, Ranunculales, Papaveraceae. The transcript is spliced from 2 exons. The record is from RefSeq and is a predicted model, not a curated record.
UUUCAUUCCCUAUAAGAUAAACUCCAUUGCUAGUACUGUUUAAACAAGUUUGAAUAUGAUAUGAAUCGAUUAAUGGGGAAAUACUUUUCCUCUGGUUAUUAAAUGAUACUCUAUGACAAAAGGAAGGAAUUUCUUAUAGAAAAAAUACCUUUACAGAAUGCCCAUUCAUAUUCAUAAAGUUCUUUCCCAAACCCUAUUCUCUCUUUCUCCUACAUGCUUACCAGAACCAGUACUGCCAACCUGCUUUAUCCCAACCCAAGAAAGCUUUCAUUCUCUCGCAAAACAAUACCUACACAAAAAAAUAAUUCAGCCUUUAUUUUAAUUUAAUAAAGAAAUCUGUGUUCUCUAUGACGAACUACAGAAGCACAAAAAAGAUACUAUCGUGGGUUUCAUCAUAAUUUUCUUACCAUGUGGGGUGAGAGAAAGAGAUAGAUGAUUGCACGCAAUACCUUGGAUUAUCCUCCUCAUUUCAACUGCAAUCAUCAUGUCUUCCUCAUCUCAUGGCUUCCUCUUCUUCUCUUCUUCAUCAUCAUCUCUACUUGAGUUAGUAGUUGUUGUUGUAGUAGUGAAAAUCUCAUCCUCUCACUCAUCAUCAUUACUUCCUCAUCUUUACCUCCUUUAUCACCCUCCACCACAACCACAAGCACCACCAACUCCAAGAACUCCAUUAACAACAACAAGAACAAGACAAAGAACUACACGAAAGAAACAAGAAAAAGAGGAGAUCAUGAGAAGAAGAUCAAGAUGGGUUCUUUAUCAUGAAUAGGAAGUAAAAUCUUUCUUGUUGAGGGGAAUUAAGCAUCUCGGUCCGGUUGUUUGCUCGAUCACCAAGCAACAAAUGAUUUAUAGAAAUCACCACUACUACUACUGUCUACUACUACAUAUAUAUUUUGUGUGUAGUUUCUUUUAAUUUUGUGCUUAUAGAUAUAUGUGUAUCUCAUCAUAUUUUUCUUAUAAUUGUUUUCUGCUGUUUUCAGUUUUCGUUAGUAUUUCUCAGUUAAAAUAUUUUACAUAUUAUCCUUAGUCAGCUAGUCAGCUAGCUAGCUGAUAUAUAUGAUACUAUCUGUGCUAAUUGUGUUUACUGUAUUUUAUUUGAAGAAAUCUAAUUAGUUUAGUUACAGAUCGAUCGCAAAUCCUUUUGCUGAUGCAUGAUGACCUAAUUUCGUAGUCUUGUUAUAUUUUGUCUAGCUAUGUAUGUGUUUCAAGAUCAACUCUCUCUUCCUGAUAUUACAUGAUUAAGGUGGUUACUAUAUAGCUAGUGUAUAGUGCAAGUUUCUUUUGAUCCACAUGAAAUAUGCAACUGCAGUUUCUUCACUUACUCAAGUACUAAUACUUUUCAUGUAGCUCGCGAGAAACCUUCAUACCUGCAGCUUAAUAUUAUUUGAGUUGGUUUAGCAUGCAUGAAUAUUACUACUGGUGCUUUUGAUGAAUUAGAGUUUCAUCGCAAGCUCAAGGUGCAUAUAUAUAUACCUAGAGUCUGAGGAUCUUGAGGAAACCAUUACAGUUGUUUUUUCCCUACAGUGUGAUCACGUUUAUCAUUUAAAUUUGAUUUUCGUAUAGGAAUACACAACCCUAUCUAGCUCAUCAUGAUUUCCUGCUCACUAGCUAGUCAGCUUCCUCUUCAGAAAACAAUUAUGAAUAUAUAAUUAUAUAUGUUCUUGUGAUCAUCAAA